Molecule: ribosomal RNA, 271 nt
Filed under: uncultured Eubacteriales bacterium
Lineage: Bacteria; Bacillati; Bacillota; Clostridia; Eubacteriales
Description: uncultured Clostridiales bacterium partial 16S ribosomal RNA
Rfam family: Bacterial small subunit ribosomal RNA
Source: RNAcentral
UUCGGAAUGAAGUUUUAGUGACUGAGUGGCGGACGGGUGAGUAACGCGUGGGUAACCUGCCUCACACAGGGGGAUAACAGUUGGAAACGGCUGCUAAUACCGCAUAAGCGCACAGUACCGCAUGAUACAGUGAUCAAAGGAGCAAUCCGCUGAAAGAUGGGCUCGCGUCCGAUUAGAUAGUUGGUGAGGUAACGGCUCACCAAGUCGACGAUCGGUAGCCGACCUGAGAGGGUGACCGGCCACAUUGGGACUGAGACACGGCCCAAACUCC